GUCGAGCGAAUGGAUUAAGAGCUUGCUCUUAUGAAGUUAGCGGCGGACGGGUGAGUAACACGUGGGUAACCUGCCCAUAAGACUGGGAUAACUCCGGGAAACCGGGGCUAAUACCGGAUAACAUUUUGAACCGCAUGGUUCGAAAUUGAAAGGCGGCUUCGGCUGUCACUUAUGGAUGGACCCGCGUCGCAUUAGCUAGUUGGUGAGGUAACGGCUCACCAAGGCAACGAUGCGUAGCCGACCUGAGAGGGUGAUCGGCCACACUGGGACUGAGACACGGCCCAGACUCCUACGGGAGGCAGCAGUAGGGAAUCUUCCGCAAUGGACGAAAGUCUGACGGAGCAACGCCGCGUGAGUGAUGAAGGCUUUCGGGUCGUAAAACUCUGUUGUUAGGGAAGAACAAGUGCUAGUUGAAUAAGCUGGCACCUUGACGGUACCUAACCAGAAAGCCACGGCUAACUACGUGCCAGCAGCCGCGGUAAUACGUAGGUGGCAAGCGUUAUCCGGAAUUAUUGGGCGUAAAGCGCGCGCAGGUGGUUUCUUAAGUCUGAUGUGAAAGCCCACGGCUCAACCGUGGAGGGUCAUUGGAAACUGGGAGACUUGAGUGCAGAAGAGGAAAGUGGAAUUCCAUGUGUAGCGGUGAAAUGCGUAGAGAUAUGGAGGAACACCAGUGGCGAAGGCGACUUUCUGGUCUGUAACUGACACUGAGGCGCGAAAGCGUGGGGAGCAAACAGGAUUAGUACCCCUGGUAAAA
Molecule: ribosomal RNA, 754 nt
Filed under: Bacillus cereus
Lineage: Bacteria; Bacillati; Bacillota; Bacilli; Caryophanales; Bacillaceae
Also listed under: 1 other name
Description: bacterial SSU rRNA
Rfam family: Bacterial small subunit ribosomal RNA
Source: RNAcentral